RNAcentral lists this ribosomal RNA (467 nucleotides) under uncultured bacterium. RNAcentral's name for it is "bacterial SSU rRNA". It matches the Rfam family "Bacterial small subunit ribosomal RNA", at positions 355 to 823 of the family's 1533-position model. The record is from RNAcentral.
UCGAGAAUCUUCCGCAAUGGGCGAAAGCCUGACGGAGCGACACCGCGUGCAGGACGAAGGCCUUCGGGUUGUAAACUGCUGUCACGCUCUAGGAAUGCCAUGCUGUUAAUAGCGGCAUGGUUGACCAAGGCGAGAGGAAGUGGCGGCUAACUCUGUGCCAGCAGCCGCGGUAAGACAGAGGCCACGAACGUUGUUCGGAAUUACUGGGCAUAAAGCGCGCGUAGGCGGCUGGGUCCGUCCGAUGUGAAAGCCCCCGGCUCAACCGGGGAAGUGCAUCGGAUACAGCCCGGCUUGAGGACGGUUGGGGUGAGUGGAACUCCUGGUGGAGCGGUGAAAUGCGUAGAUAUCAGGAGGAACACCGGUGGCGAAAGCGGCUCACUGGACCGUUACUGACGCUGAGGUGCGAAAGCUAGGGGAGCAAACGGGAUUAGAUACCCAAGUAGUCCCUGAGCGGGCUGGCAAGGCGC